CUUCUGGAUUUUAAAAUUUAUUCUUAUAGAGAAAGCUUAAUGUUUCAUGCAGAGUGACUCCUGUCCUAGCAGAAACCACUGUUACUUAGCAUUUAGCACUAAGAUAUUAUAGAAAGGUACCUUUUUCUCUUUAGUGCUAUUGUGAAAAAUGAAGCAUAAUUUGCUAUGUAUUUUUAUUUUCAUCUUCUCAGUGUUGACUUAAACCAUUGCAAUGAGAAACUAAAAUCUGUAUGUAGAAAGCUGUAGAUUGCACUUUGAUGACUCACAAGUUAAAUGUGACAGAGAUAGAUUGGUUUAGUAGUUUUGUGAUGCACUUAUCUUAUUCUUUUUUUUCUAACUAAAUUGUUACCUGUUAUAGAAAGCCAUUUUGGCUUUGUCUGAUGAUUCAACAUUCCCUAGACCUUUUGGAAUUGAUGAUGAUUCUUUUUCUUUCUUGCUCAUUUGGCAACAUCAGACAUUGGGGAUCUAUUUCCCCCAACGUACAUAUUCUAAUUUGAUUAGCACAGUACAGUAAACACCAUUGCCAAAAUAGAGUUUCCAUGUCCUUCUUGUUGAUUUGGGCAUUGGUGGUGAGUAUAUUUAACUGUGAGAAUUCACUUUUACUUUUUUUAAAUUUAGGUUUCAUUACAAAAUUUUCUAUUUAAGCAAGGAACAAUAUAAUACUCGAUACUGACCUAACACACCUUUGUGAAAGGGUUUGCACUUGUAAGAGAGCUUAUGUUCUACCUAGACCAACCUUAAUAGGGUCUUCACCUUUCCAUUAAGGAGGUGCUGCACUACAAGUCUGGAAACUAUAUAGAAAAUUUUUAAAUUAACCCUCUGCUGGUA
This 828-nucleotide long non-coding RNA is filed under the name Bos taurus (domestic cattle). Its description in RNAcentral is "long non-coding RNA NONBTAT019683". The record is from RNAcentral. Lineage: Eukaryota; Metazoa; Chordata; Mammalia; Artiodactyla; Bovidae.